GUGUAAAGCUAACAUGCAUCGCAAAAAACCAAAGGUAACCUAAAUGUCUGAUUUUAAUAGCACAUAUUUCUCUUUUACAUAAACUGUGACAGCAACUUGCAUAAACAAUUCUUUAGCUGUUAAUUUUAAUGUUAAAACUUUGCAAAACUUGUUUAAUAAAAAUAGCUGUAAAAAGAAGAACCAUAUGCUGCCGCAUAAAUUAGCCAUAACUCUUAAUAAUCCUGCCCAUCACAAGUGAACUGUAAUGUAACCUGGGCACAAAGUCUGACAUCUUAAAUGACACAUUGUAAAAUUUCAAUGACUGUAGUUUAGAUCUGCUGCUCCCCAAAGUAAAGCUUUCUGCUCAGCUAUUUUAAAAUGUACAAGGAUUAUCCCCUAUUAGGUCCCCGUAUUGAUAUUCACAAUGAAAUGUUACUUAAAAUUUCUUUAAAGUUGCAUGUUUCUCUCCUGUAAUGUGUAAACUGCAUGCAGGAUCUCUAUCUUUUAUUUUGUAUGUCUUUAAAACUUCCUCUUCAAAAUACUGAUCUCUUACUUCUCCAUUUUCAGGUGGUUGAAAAGUCCUGAGGCAUUUCCCGGAAUAGAAUGGGUAGUGAAGACCCUUGUCAGGUAUGUUAAGGUGGUUUUCUGUUAAGGAUAUUGGACUUUUAUCCUAACUGUAAAAUGGUUGUGCCAGGUGGUUUAUGCAUAUUAUAGUACAUUUCAGUACCUAAU
Molecule: long non-coding RNA, 711 nt
Filed under: Bos taurus (domestic cattle)
Lineage: Eukaryota; Metazoa; Chordata; Mammalia; Artiodactyla; Bovidae
Description: long non-coding RNA NONBTAT011861
Source: RNAcentral